RNAcentral lists this long non-coding RNA (1126 nucleotides) under Oncorhynchus kisutch (coho salmon). Its description in RNAcentral is "lncRNA (ENSOKIG00005042002.1)". The record is from RNAcentral. Lineage: Eukaryota; Metazoa; Chordata; Actinopteri; Salmoniformes; Salmonidae.
AAAGCGUCAAUACAGGACUUAGAUCAAAUCGUACUACACCGGCUCUGAUGAUCGUCUGAUGUGGCAGGGCUUGCAAACUAUUACAAAGGGAAGCACAGCCGCGGGCUGCCCAGUGACACGAGCCUACCAGACGAGCUACACUACUUCUAUGCUCGCGUCGAGGCAAAUAAUACUGAAACAUGCAUGAGAGCACCAGCUGUUACGGAAGACUGUGUGAUCACGCUCUCCGUGUUUUAAGCAAACCACCUUAGUCCCUAUGCCCCAAAACACUAACGUAACCUGCCUAAAUGACUACCGACCAUUAGCACUCACGUCUGUAGCCAGGAUGUGCUUUGAAAGGCUGGUUCACAUCAACACCAUUAUCCCAGAAACCCUAGACCCACUUCAAUUUGCAUGCUGCCCUAACAGAUCCACAGAUGAUGCAAUCUCUAUUGCACUCCACACUGCCCUUUCCCACCUGGACAAAAUGAACACCUAUGUGAGAAUGCUAUUCAUUGACUACAGCUCAUUGUUCAACACCAUAGUGCCCUCAAAGCUCAUCAAUAAGAUAAGGACCCUGGGACUAAACACCUCCCUCUACAACUGGAUCCUGGACUUCCUGACGGGCCGUCCCCAGGUGGUAAAGGUAGGUAAAAACACAUCCGCAACACUGAUCUUCAACAUGGGGGCCCCUCAGGGGUGCGUGCUCUGUCCCCUCCUGUACUACCUGUUCACUCAUGACUGCACGGCCAGGUACGACUCCAACACCAUCAUUAAGUUUGCCGAUAUCUCAACAGUGGUAGGCCUGAUCACCGACAAUGAUGAGACAGCCAGGACAACAACCUCUCUCUCUCUCAACGUGAUCAAGACAAAGGAGAUGAUUGUAGACUACAGGAAAAAGAGGACGGAGCACACCCCCAUUCUCAUUGACCGGGCUGUAGUGGAGCAAGUUGAGAGCUUCAAGUUCCUUGGGGUCCACAUCACCAACAAACUAACAUGGUCCAUGCACAACAAGACAGUUGUGAAGAGGGCACGACAAAACCUAUUCCCCCUCAGGAGACUGAAAAGCUUUGGCAUGGGUCCUCAGAUCCUCAAAAGGUUCUACAGCUGCACCGGUAUGGCAACUGCUCGACCUCCAACCGCAAGG